Molecule: non-coding RNA, 682 nt
Organism: Camellia sinensis
Lineage: Eukaryota; Viridiplantae; Streptophyta; Magnoliopsida; Ericales; Theaceae
Source: RefSeq, a predicted model, not a curated record
AUUUUCACUCUUGCACACCCUUCUCUCACAAUUCAUAGGAAAGAGAGAAUGAUCGCGAAUGGAAUCGAAGACGAGGACAAUUGGUUGACCGAAGGCAUCGCAAGGAUUCAACACAAUUGCUUUCUAUAUGCAUCGCGCACUGGACUCCAACAAUCUCAGAGAAGCCCUAUAAUAUUCGGUGCAAAUGUUGUCUGAGCUCUGAACAUCUAGACUAUCUCCACAAAAGCACUUUGAGCUCUGUAUAUAUAGCCUUUAAUCAUCGUCGACGAUUGAUUUUUUUUUUUUGUUUUCUAUAUCGAAAUUCAAUUGAUUAUUUGUUUACUAUUGUGAUGUGCCAGAUAUGUAAGCCUUUGAUGAAUUGAGAAGACUUGAAAUCUUCUUUAAAGAGGAAGAUAAACAUGGUUGUACGGUCUCUGACCUCUAUGAACUCGUCCAGCAUGCUGGAAACAUUUUACCCAGAUUAUCAGAAAAAUAAAUUAGAAGCAGAAAACCAAGGGCUGCUUCUGAAUUUUGGUUCACAGCUUGAUUAGAGCUUAAAAGACUUGCACAAGACCAUCUUGGGGUCAGUUUGUCAACAGCAGCAACAAUUGAGAUGCAUGGAGGAACACGUCUCUUCAUUUCUUGCUAGUAAAUAUGACGCCACUCAGAUACUGGAAUCUAGGAUCUGUGAGCCCGAGAUUGC